RNAcentral lists this ribosomal RNA (496 nucleotides) under uncultured bacterium. RNAcentral describes it as "partial 16S ribosomal RNA". It matches the Rfam family "Bacterial small subunit ribosomal RNA", at positions 28 to 506 of the family's 1533-position model. The record is from RNAcentral.
GAUGAACGCUGGCGGCGUGCCUAAUACAUGCAAGUCGAGCGAACAGACGAGGUGCUUUCUUCUUCGACGUUAGCGGCUGACGGGUGAGUAACACGUAGGUAACCUACCUAUAAGACUGGGAUAACUUCGGGAAACCGGAGCUAAUACCGGAUAAUAUUUCGAACCGCGUGGCUCGAUAGUGAAAGAUGGCUUUGCUAUCACUUAUAGAUGGACCUGCGCCGUAUUAGCUAGUUGGUAAGGUAACGGCUUACCAAGGCAACGAUACGUAGCCGACCUGAGAGGGGGAUCGGCCACACUGGAACUGAGACACGGUCCAGACUCCUACGGGAGGCAGCAGUAGGGAAUCUUCCGCAAUGGGCGAAAGCCUGACGGAGCAACGCCGCGUGAGUGAUGAAGGUCUUCGGAUCGUAAAACUCUGUUAUUAGGGAAGAACAAACGUGUAAGUAACUGUGCACGUCUUGACGGUACCUAAGCAGAAAGCCACGGCUAACUACGU